AUACAAGAAAGAUGUGCAUAGUA
Molecule: non-coding RNA, 23 nt
Filed under: Arabidopsis thaliana (thale cress)
Lineage: Eukaryota; Viridiplantae; Streptophyta; Magnoliopsida; Brassicales; Brassicaceae
Source: RNAcentral